AACAGGUGGAUGAUUGACUCUAACGUGACCAUCCGGAAUUGGCGUGUUUGGAGGACCCAUUUGUCUUUUGAAAUGUUUUGCCAAUUGUUGAAAAAGGGGUUGAGCCUUGUUUGGUGAUCCAGCAGGUGUGCCAGAGGAUUGCUGAGAAGAUCUAGAGUGAGAAGCCCGGAAAGGUCGAAAGGCCUGGGAAGAUUGUUGUUGAUACUGCUGUUGUGGCAGUGUCCUUUGCCACUGAGACUUGUGAAACCGUGGUUGCGGAUGUAUGGUGUAAGAUUUUGCCGUCUUCUUACUCUCGUGUAUAGAUUUCAAAGAUUCGUCUGUUUUCUCAUUAAACA
This is a non-coding RNA of Pogona vitticeps (central bearded dragon), 335 nucleotides long. The record is from RefSeq and is a predicted model, not a curated record. NCBI's taxonomy places the organism in Eukaryota, Metazoa, Chordata, Lepidosauria, Squamata, Agamidae.